Molecule: ribosomal RNA, 454 nt
Filed under: uncultured bacterium
Lineage: Bacteria
Description: partial 16S ribosomal RNA
Rfam family: Bacterial small subunit ribosomal RNA
Source: RNAcentral
GAUGAACGCUGACAGAAUGCUUAACACAUGCAAGUCAACUUGAACUUCGGUUUGGGUGGCGGACGGGUGAGUAACGCGUAAAGAACUUGCCUCACAGAUAGGGACAACAUUUGGAAACGAAUGCUAAUACCUGAUAUCAUGAUUAUAUGGCAUCGUAUAAUUAUGAAAGCUAUAUGCGCUGUGAGAGAGCUUUGCGUCCCAUUAGCUAGUUGGAGAGGUAACGGCUCACCAAGGCGAUGAUGGGUAGCCGGCCUGAGAGGGUGAUCGGCCACAAGGGGACUGAGACACGGCCCUUACUCCUACGGGAGGCAGCAGUGGGGAAUAUUGGACAAUGGACCAAGAGUCUGAUCCAGCAAUUCUGUGUGCACGAUGAAGUUUUUCGGAAUGUAAAGUGCUUUCAGUUGGGAAGAAGAAAAUGACGGUACCAACAGAAGAAGUGACGGCUAAAUACGUG